Long non-coding RNA from Cimex lectularius (bed bug), 337 nucleotides. RefSeq lists it as uncharacterized. The record is from RefSeq and is a predicted model, not a curated record. The transcript is spliced from 3 exons. Lineage: Eukaryota; Metazoa; Arthropoda; Insecta; Hemiptera; Cimicidae.
ACCGCGCUUGAAAUGUUCCAACUGUCAAUCUCUUGCCAUCAUCAUGAACGGAAAAGUGUUAUUUUUCCUUUUUGCGAUCAUAGCGACUGCGUUUUCGUUUGAAACGUACUAUGUAAACAGAUUGAGACGAAGUUUAUAUGGGCAGAUUUUGAAAGGAAAAGAACCCAGGAACACUGGCUACAGAGGGAGGAACCUUGUCAACUUUCCAGCUUAUGACGAGAUAGAUUAUUAUUUGUGAUAAAAAAAAAAUUAAUAUGAUCUUGGAUCUUCCUCGAAAGUGUAGUUCAAAAGAGUAGAAAAAAAAUCACAAUAAAGAUAUUUAAUUAGCAUUUCAAAA